This 294-nucleotide ribosomal RNA is filed under the name uncultured fungus. RNAcentral's name for it is "partial small subunit ribosomal RNA". It matches the Rfam family "Eukaryotic small subunit ribosomal RNA", at positions 30 to 273 of the family's 1831-position model. The record is from RNAcentral. Lineage: Eukaryota; Fungi.
GCUUGUCUCAAAGAUUAAGCCAUGCAUGUCUAAGUACAAGCCUCAGUAAGGUGAAACCGCGAAUGGCUCAUUAAAUCACACCUAAUCUACUGGAAAGUUACUAGUUAUGAAUUUAGCCACCUGGUUCCGUCGCAAGACGUAGGAAUAACACUGUCAACUGCAGCGAUAAUGCCUGAAAAACGUGUGAAUUUAGUAGCACAAAUACUAGAGUAUGGAUGAGUCCGCUCUAUUCAGGAGGGUUUUCCCUCUGUUGACCAUCGAGUUCGAGGGUUGAAUACUUAGGCUUCGGCUUCU